GAUGAACGCUGGCGGCGUGCCUAAUACAUGCAGGUCGAGCGAACGGACGAGAAGCUUGCUUCUCUGAUGUUAGCGGCGGACGGGUGAGUAACACGUGGAUAACCUACCUAUAAGACUGGGAUAACUUCGGGAAACCGGAGCUAAUACCGGAUAAUAUUUUGAACCGCAUGGUUCAAAAGUGAAAGACGGUCUUGCUGUCACUUAUAGAUGGAUCCGCGCUGCAUUAGCUAGUUGGUAAGGUAACGGCUUACCAAGGCAACGAUGCAUAGCCGACCUGAGAGGGGGAUCGGCCACACUGGAACUGAGACACGGUCCAGACUCCUACGGGAGGCAGCAGGAGGGAAUCUUCCGCAAUGGGCGAAAGCCUGACGGAGCAACGCCGCGGGAGUGAUGAAGGGCUUCGGAUCGUAAAACUCUGUUAUUAGGGAAGAACAUAUGUGUAAGUAACUGUGCACAUCUUGACGGUACCUAAUCAGAAAGCCACGGCUAACUACGU
This 496-nucleotide ribosomal RNA is filed under the name uncultured bacterium. RNAcentral describes it as "partial 16S ribosomal RNA". It matches the Rfam family "Bacterial small subunit ribosomal RNA", at positions 28 to 506 of the family's 1533-position model. The record is from RNAcentral.